RNAcentral lists this ribosomal RNA (722 nucleotides) under Ctenophora environmental sample. RNAcentral describes it as "partial Bacterial large subunit ribosomal RNA". It matches the Rfam family "Bacterial large subunit ribosomal RNA", at positions 1 to 783 of the family's 2925-position model. Lineage: Eukaryota; Metazoa; Ctenophora. The record is from RNAcentral.
GUUAAGUGACUAAGCGUAUACGGUGGAUGCCUUGGCAGUUAGAGGCGAUGAAGGACGUGUAAGUCUGCGAAAAGCUGUGGUGAGCCGACAAAAUGCAUUUGAGCCACAGAUGUCCGAAUGGGGAAACCCACCUAUUUAUAGGUAUCGUUACAUGAAUAUAUAGUGUAACGAGGCGAACGAGGGGAACUGAAACAUCUAAGUACCCUUAGGAAAAGAAAUCAACCGAGAUUCCCCUAGUAGCGGCGAGCGAACGGGGAUUAGCCCUUAAGCAAUUAUGAACGUAGUGGAAGCCUCUGGGAAGUGGCGCGAUACAAGGUGAUAGCCCUGUACACGAAGUGUUUGUUUUUGUGAAAUCGAGUAGGUCGGGACACGUGCUAUCUUGACUGAAUAUGGGGGGACCAUCCUCCAAGGCUAAAUACUCCUAACUGACCGAUAGUGAACCAGUACCGUGAGGGAAAGGCGAAAAGAACCCCGGAGAGGGGAGUGAAAUAGAACCUAAAACCGUGUGCAUACAAGCAGUGGGAGCCGUAAGGUGACUGCGUACCUUUUGUAUAAUGGGUCAGCGACUUCGUCUCACGAGCAAGCUUAAGCCGUUAGGUGUAGGCGCAGCGAAAGCGAGUCUUAAUAGGGCGACUGAGUUCGUGGGAUGAGACCCGAAGCCGAGUGAUCUAGCCAUGGGCAGGAUGAAGGUGCGGUAACACGCACUGGAGGACCGAACCCAC